This 429-nucleotide ribosomal RNA is filed under the name Chloroflexota bacterium. RNAcentral describes it as "Chloroflexi bacterium partial 16S ribosomal RNA". It matches the Rfam family "Bacterial small subunit ribosomal RNA", at positions 355 to 776 of the family's 1533-position model. Lineage: Bacteria; Bacillati; Chloroflexota. The record is from RNAcentral.
UGGGGAAUAUUGCACAAUGGGCGCAAGCCUGAUGCAGCCAUGCCGCGUGUAUGAAGAAGGCCUUCGGUUUGUAAAGUACGUUCAGCGGGGAGGAAGGGAGUAAAGUUAAUACCUUUGCUAAUUGACUUUACCCGCAGAAGAAGCACCGGCUAACUCCGUGCCAGCAGCCGCGGUAAUACGGAGGGUGCAAGCGUUAAUCGGAAUUACUGGGCGUAAAGCGCACGCAGGCGGUUUGUUAAGUCAGAUGUGAAAUCCUCGGGCUCAACCUGGGAACUGCAUCUGAUACUGGCAAGCUUGAGUCUCGUAGAGGGGGGUAGAAUUCCAGGUGUAGCGGUAAAAUGCGUAGAGAUCUGGAGGAAUAACGGUGGCGAAGGCGGCCCCCUGGACGAAGACUGACGCUCAGGUGCGAAAGCGUGGGGAGCAAACAGG